AAGAAAGGGUGCCAGAGCCAG
RNAcentral lists this non-coding RNA (21 nucleotides) under Rattus norvegicus (Norway rat). The record is from RNAcentral. Lineage: Eukaryota; Metazoa; Chordata; Mammalia; Rodentia; Muridae.